This 414-nucleotide ribosomal RNA is filed under the name uncultured bacterium. Its description in RNAcentral is "bacterial SSU rRNA". It matches the Rfam family "Bacterial small subunit ribosomal RNA", at positions 362 to 776 of the family's 1533-position model. The record is from RNAcentral.
UAUUGCACAAUGGGCGAAAGCCUGAUGCAGCGACGCCGCGUGAGGGAUGACGGCCUUCGGGUUGUAAACCUCUUUCAGUAGGGAACAAGGCCAGCUUUUUGGUUGGUUGAGGGUACUUGCAGAAGAAGCGCCGGCUAACUACGUGCCAGCAGCCGCGGUAAUACGUAGGGCGCAAGCGUUAUCCGGAAUUAUUGGGCGUAAAGAGCUCGUAGGCGGUUUGUCGCGUCUGCCGUGAAAGUCCGGGGCUCAACUCCGGAUCUGCGGUGGGUACGGGCAGACUAGAGUGAUGUAGGGGAGACUGGAAUUCCUGGUGUAGCGGUGAAAUGCGCAGAUAUCAGGAGGAACACCGAUGGCGAAGGCAGGUCUCUGGGCAUUAACUGACGCUGAGGAGCGAAAGCAUGGGGAGCGAACAGG